UCCGGUUCAUCACCGGCAGUCUCCUUAGAGUCCCCACCAUUACAUGUUGGCAACUAAGGAUAAGGGUUGCGCUCGUUACGGGACUUAACCCAACAUCUCACAACACGAGCUGACGACAGCCAUGCAGCACCUGUCUCAACGUUCCUUGCGGCACUCCCGCAUCUCUGCAGGAUUCGUUGGAUGUCAAGGGUAGGUAAGGUUCUUCGCGUUGCAUCGAAUUAAACCACAUGCUCCACCGCUUGUGCGGGCCCCCGUCAAUUCCUUUGAGUUUUAAUCUUGCGACCGUACUCCCCAGGCGGAUAACUUAUCGCGUUAGCUUCGAUACUGAUGGGUCUAAGCCCAACAACAUCUAGUUAUCAUCGUUUACGGCGUGGACUAC
Molecule: unclassified non-coding RNA, 379 nt
Filed under: uncultured Gammaproteobacteria bacterium
Lineage: Bacteria; Pseudomonadati; Pseudomonadota; Gammaproteobacteria
Description: contains 16S-23S intergenic spacer region
Source: RNAcentral